GAAGCUAUCGCGUUAUUUGUAUUGAGUGAUUUCUUAAGAAGCAGCUUCGAGACUGCGUCACACACUGAAAAGGACGAGGGUGGUGAGCUGGAUUUUCAUUUAUUGAAACGUUGGAAAGAGAGUUAAGAUGGACGUAAUAGAUGAGUUCAAUCCACAGGAAUGGGAGAUAGCUAAUGAAAAUGAGGUUGAAGGUUUCGAGGAUUACAACCUUUUCAGAAGAAAACUUAGCCGCGCUCCAUUAUCCAAUAACAAUUCUGGAGAAUAUUUCUAUUGCGUGCAGGACUCCACCGACAAAGUUCGUAGAGUAAUCCUCAGUGGGUGCAAAGGUGCGAGGGAUCCUUUAUCCGGUGUGGCAAACUGCCGGUUGAAACUCGACGAAAACAAAGGGAAAGUGAUCGGCAUUCAACUCGACCACCAAGUCAUUGUUAAGAAGGAAACAAGUUAACUUUUUGUGUGGUGUCUGUUUGUAGAAAUCCUGUACAUUUUUAGUCGAAAAUCUUUUAAAAAACAUGACGUUGGUGAAAAGGAAUGCAUGUUGCUAACAUAGUUUUGCAUAUUGGAAUAUAUAUCCCUAUAUA
Dendronephthya gigantea is the source of this 578-nucleotide long non-coding RNA. RefSeq lists it as uncharacterized. The record is from RefSeq and is a predicted model, not a curated record. NCBI's taxonomy places the organism in Eukaryota, Metazoa, Cnidaria, Anthozoa, Malacalcyonacea, Nephtheidae. The transcript is spliced from 3 exons.